AUCCAGCUCACGAGUCACAAAUAGGACGAAACGCGCGUCCUGGAU
Schistosoma mansoni is the source of this 45-nucleotide non-coding RNA. The record is from Rfam. NCBI's taxonomy places the organism in Eukaryota, Metazoa, Platyhelminthes, Trematoda, Strigeidida, Schistosomatidae.